UAGCACUGUUAUGGCCGCAUCCGCCUUAUUUUGUUUUUUUACUCACUCCCCCAACUCCUCUACAUUUUAUAGUACCCCCCCAAGUCACACCUAAAUGCCUCUAGGUCCCUCAUUUUACCUUUUUGCUGCCUCGUUUUUUCAUCCAUAUCUUUGUCCCAAAUGCUGCCAUCUUAAGGUUCUUGGAUGACAUUUACCGAAUGAAUGAAUUAAUAAAAUUAUAACAAGUGAAAACACCAAAUUGCAAUUCAUUUUUCAUUUAGUUUAUUAUAAGAAGGGAGUUACCGGUUUCCACCUUAUAUUUAAAAACAGAAGCAGCGGGGGAGGUAUGUCCCCACCCCCUCACCCCCAUAUAAUGAGUAAGUGCUAUUAAACUAAACAUGGAACCUAGUGUGCCCUCCCCCAGUCCCUUGGUUGGGCCCUAAAUUAUGAGGGAUGCCUACUGUUGCCCCCCCAGCCCC
Pelobates cultripes (western spadefoot toad) is the source of this 458-nucleotide non-coding RNA. The record is from the annotation of a GenBank genome assembly. Lineage: Eukaryota; Metazoa; Chordata; Amphibia; Anura; Pelobatidae.